CUAGCUUAGACUCGUCUAGCUUAGACUCGUGUACGAAUACUUACAGAAAUAUAUUUCGUUCGUAUAAAGCUAGCUUAGACUCGUGUACGUUAUACUCGUGUACGAAUACUUACAGAAAUAUAUUUCGUUCGUAUAAAGCUAGCUUAGACUCGUGUACGUUAUACUCGUGUACGAAUACUUACAGAAAUAUAUUUCGUUCGUAUAAAGCUAGCUUAGACUCGUGUACGUUAUACUCGUGUACGAAUACUUACAGAAAUAUAUUUCGUUCGUAUAAAGCUAGCUUAGACUCGUGUACGUUAUACUCGUGUACGAAUACUUACAGAAAUAUAUUUCGUUCGUAUAAAGUUAGCUUAGACUCGUGUACGUUAUACUCGUGUACGAAUACUUACAGAAAUAUAUUUCGUUCGUAUAAAGUUAGCUUAGACUCGUGUACGUUAUACUCGUGUACGAAUACUUACAGAAAUAUAUUUCGUUCGUAUAAAGUUAGCUUAGACUCGUGUACGUUAUACUCGUGUACGAAUACUUACAGAAAUAUAUUUCGUUCGUAUAAAGCUAGCUUAGACUCGUGUACGUCAUACUCGUGUACGAAUACUUACAGAAAUAUAUUUUGUUCGUAUUAAGUCACAUUUUUAAACACUGUCAAGACUCAGUACACACAUAGGGCACUUAACAAAAGCCGACUACGAGUACAUGAAUGAAAUAAGAACUUAGAACAAUAAAGAUAGGUAGAAAUUGCUUGCCAAUUAAAUAUAACGGUAUUUUUAUGUAUUUUGUGUCAAAAAGGUUUACAGGCCGAUUUUUACACGACUGCCCAAACAAAAAGAGUGUAUUGUUUUCAGCGUUCAUGUUUGUAUGUAUAUAUGUAUUUAUUGUCAUUUUUGUCUCGUUCAUCGAUACCAACGAGAAAAACGGACAGAAUUAAACAAUCGGCAGUAAGUGUAUUGAGGUUGUUCCGCCUAGCUUUGUGCUUGAGCUUGUCGACAAUACACUCGCAAUCAGAUACCUAUAUCAGAGCGGCUUCGGUGCCCAAAAAUAUCUGAACACGCACCCCACGGAAGAAAGAAUGAGCGCGCCGCGCUCUGACGAGAAACGGCAUGUGCCUGGAUUAGUAUGAGAACCUAUGUCGCCAAAACGCUGUCACAAAAAUUGGCCAUAUUUUCUUAUUUCGAAAGGGAUUAUGAGCCCUUGCCCAUCACAGUAAAAAAAACUUUACAGUCAAGAAAAUUAUGUCGAAAUUGCACUACGAUUUUUAUUUUUGUAACAAUACACAAAUCAUUGACAAAUUGUCAUUUAUGCUCUAGCCCUUUUACACUUGCAUGGCUUUUCCAAGAGUGAAUGCGAUAGGAUAAAAUUAAAAAUAUUCGACUAUGAGGUUGACACAUGCGAUAGGGAUGUGCAUGAUUCGGUGUGAUAUCGAUAAAUGCUUAUUAAUGAUCAAUGUACACGUAAACUGUUCAGUUUUUUUUAUACAUAUGUAUUACUAUAUUUUCUGGUGACAAUUAGGUACCUACUUACUUUUUAAUAAAAAAAUCUCGUAUUGAAAGUAAUCACGCCACCAACCACGCAUAUAACUGUACGUAGUCUAGCCAUAAAUUCUGUCCCAACUUUUUCAUCAUUUUAAACUUAAUAAUGGAAUGUUUGAUGUAUUUUUCUUUCUUGGUUAUGCUUAAAUACACCUUUGGCUAUCAGAAAAAGUACAUUUAGAUCCAGGUAUCGUUUCCCUGCAGAUGAGAUGAGUGGGGCAUCAAAGAGAAUCGUGUCGUAGUGAUAGUGUUAUACAAGUGCAACAAGGAAGUGAAUGACAUUUUCAAACUGCUGAAACUUUUUAAUAUAACGCAGAAAUGUAUCUAACGUACUAUCAAGCGAUACAACGACAUGGGUUUAGUCGACGACCAGCCCAGGAGCGGUCGCCAACUUCAAACAAGGACACCGGCAGUGAUUAAAGUGGUAGCUGAGCGAAUUCGGAGAAAUCCGCUACGCAAGCAGAAAAUCAUGGCUAGGGAAAUGAAAAUACCCCCAAGAACUAUGUCCCGUAUCAUAAAACAAGACCUUAGUCUUGGGGCUUAUUGUCGGAGCACAGGACAGCGAUUGACAGCGGCCCUACGGAAAACAAGAGCGACGAGAGCUAAAGUGUUGUGGUAACAGCACGCACAGGGCGGAUAUCGUAAUAUUCUGUUCACAGAUGAAAAAAUCUUUAACGUGGAGCAAAAAUUCAGCCGCUAAAACGAUAAAAUAUAUGCUCACAGUUCCCAAGAAGCUUCUGAAAAACGGCUUUAAUACCCAUCGAUACCGUCCGUGCCAUCAUAGACGAGUUGCCGGACCGUUUAAAGAAGUGUUUUAAAGUAAAAGGUGGACAUUUUGAAUAAAUAUUUUAUUGAUGAUUGAUGAAUGAU
This is a long non-coding RNA of Cydia fagiglandana, 2393 nucleotides long. RefSeq lists it as uncharacterized. The transcript is spliced from 3 exons. Lineage: Eukaryota; Metazoa; Arthropoda; Insecta; Lepidoptera; Tortricidae. The record is from RefSeq and is a predicted model, not a curated record.